GCUGAUGAGUUGAAUCAGGUGUGAUAGAUGAGGGAGACAUACAAUAUGUGCAAGGCUGGGGGUACUCUAGGACAGGUUUGAGAAUCACUGGCCUACACUGAAUGUUUCACA
Molecule: long non-coding RNA, 111 nt
Organism: Sinocyclocheilus rhinocerous
Lineage: Eukaryota; Metazoa; Chordata; Actinopteri; Cypriniformes; Cyprinidae
Exons: 3
Source: RefSeq, a predicted model, not a curated record